Molecule: long non-coding RNA, 561 nt
Filed under: Heterocephalus glaber (naked mole-rat)
Lineage: Eukaryota; Metazoa; Chordata; Mammalia; Rodentia; Bathyergidae
Description: lncRNA (ENSHGLG00000024954.2)
Source: RNAcentral
UGAGGAAAUUCCAUGUAUGAACCUGAAAACCUGAAUUCCUACCUUAAGAAAGUAGCAGACAUUUCUACCCCGGGCUCCUGCGUCCAGAGGAAGAGCAAAACUCACCGUGGCCCACGGGAUGCUGGUCAUCUCCCCUCUGUUUCCUCUCUGGUUUCAUCUCUGCUUCUCCCUCGGCCUCUCUGGUGUUCCUGGUACUGGAGACCCCUGCAGUUAGGUUCCAGUCCCCUGCCCAGUAUAUGAUGCAGGCCUGAGAAAUCAAACUAAAAGACAGAACCAGGAGAGAAAGCGGGCGCCAGGACGACCAAUGCCGGUGCAACUGACAAAGGCGCUGGCCAGUCCCGGGCCCUGACAUUUGUUGGCCAUCCAUUGGGGUAGAGGAAGCCACGUCAUCUCUCUGAACCUCAGUCUCCUCGUCUGUAGAGUGGACAUACUCCUAGGACUGUCUCAGGGGGCCGUCAUGUAGAGACUGUGGAGUUCUUUGUCUUGUGUUAUUGAAAAAUAACACAGGUGAUUUCUGUUUACAUAAAACAAGGAAUGGACAUAAAUGGAUUCUUAGAGAAG